Molecule: ribosomal RNA, 253 nt
Filed under: uncultured bacterium
Lineage: Bacteria
Description: partial 16S ribosomal RNA
Rfam family: Bacterial small subunit ribosomal RNA
Source: RNAcentral
UACAGAGGGUGCGAGCGUUAAUCGGAAUUACUGGGCGUAAAGCGCGCGUAGGCGGCUUUGCAAGUCGGGUGUGAAAUCCCCAGGCUUAACCUGGGAACCGCAUUCGAGACUGCAUUGCUAGAGUAUGGGAGAGGGAUGCGGAAUUCCAGGUGUAGCGGUGAAAUGCGUAGAUAUCUGGAGGAACACCGGUGGCGAAGGCGGCAUCCUGGACCAACACUGACGCUGAGGAGCGAAAGCCAGGGGAGCAAACGGG